GAUGAACGCUGGCGGCGUGCCUAAUACAUGCAAGUCGAGCGAACAGACGUGGAGCUUGCUCCUCUGACGUUAGCGGCGGACGGGUGAGUAACACGUGGAUAACCUACCUAUAAGACUGGGAUAACUUCGGGAAACCGGAGCUAAUACCGGAUAACAUGUUGAACCGCAUGGUUCAACAGUGAAAGACGGUCUUGCUGUCACUUAUAGAUGGAUCCGCGCCGCAUUAGCUAGUUGGUAAGGUAACGGCUUACCAAGGCAACGAUGCGUAGCCGACCUGAGAGGGUGAUCGGCCACACUGGAACUGAGACACGGUCCAGACUCCUACGGGAGGCAGCAGUAGGGAAUCUUCCGCAAUGGGCGAAAGCCUGACGGAGCAACGCCGCGUGAGUGAAGAAGGUCUUCGGAUCGUAAAACUCUGUUAUUAGGGAAGAACAAAUGUGUAAGUAACUAUGCACGUCUUGACGGUACCUAAUCAGAAAGCCACGGCUAACUACGUG
Molecule: ribosomal RNA, 497 nt
Filed under: uncultured bacterium
Lineage: Bacteria
Description: partial 16S ribosomal RNA
Rfam family: Bacterial small subunit ribosomal RNA
Source: RNAcentral